Carica papaya (papaya) is the source of this 1039-nucleotide long non-coding RNA. RefSeq lists it as uncharacterized. The record is from RefSeq and is a predicted model, not a curated record. NCBI's taxonomy places the organism in Eukaryota, Viridiplantae, Streptophyta, Magnoliopsida, Brassicales, Caricaceae.
UUUCACCUCCUAUGUAUAAACCCGAUCCCUAGUUUCCUUCAUCAUCAUUAGCCGCCUGCACAAUUUUCUCCUUAAGUUGCAUGUGUGACUUUAUUUGACGUGUACUUGUUAUGAUCUGCGAUUUUCUGCUCUCUUUCUUUCUCUGAUGUAGGGGAGAAUGUGUUGCUUGAUUAUGUUUAUUUAAAGAUGUUGGUCGGUGAUGCUUCAGAAUUUGUCCGUUCCAUCUGAGAUUACUUCUCUGAAGCAGCUGAAACAUCUUGUCUGAGGUCUCUCUUGUUAAUUUUGAUUAGUUCUUAUUUUUGUUGUUUCUUGUGGUGUUGAAGGCGGUGACGAUGAAAACUGCAUACCAUCAAACUAUGAGGGCUAAUGAGCUCGUUGAUGUUACAGAAAAUCAUUACUCUCUGAGCCUUUUUCAUUUUUAUUUUAUUUAAAUUUUUAACUAUUUUGGAAAAAUAGAGGAGAAUGGCAAUAAAUUAGAGUCUCUGAUGCGCUGUGUUCAGUAGCGUUUUCAGCGCUGUACGUUGCCGAUAGUCAAGGGGACUGAGAUUCUGGCAUUUGUUUCUGGUUUCCUAAGCAAUCUGCAUUCAGAUGUCCUCACAGUUCAUAAUUUUUGAACAAUUAGUAGUUUUUCUUAUUGGUUUAUAUUUGUUUUAUGUGAUUAGAAAUUAUCUUGCACAAUUAAAAUUUUACUGAUUGAAUGGACAAGGUGGCUACAUGUACCGAGUGAAGGGAUUCAGAAUCUGGUGCCCUUAUAACUUGAAAUGGCCUAAAGGUCUGUAGCCAAAUGUAUGGAUGGAGAAGCUAACUGGCCAAGUGGUUGUGUAUCUCCGUCGACCUUACUUGCUUACCGAGCUUCUUAUAGAAAAGAAAUUCAUAUGAGCGUUUUAGAAUGAUAUGAUGAUGGAAUAUGUUUCCCUAUUGGUUUGAUUGCCGGAAUGAUGGCAUUGACCUUUGUAUUAGCUCUAUCUGAUCAUUCACUUGUUUCUUUUUGUGAAUUCGCUUCAAAGCAAUUAUCAUUUUCUGCCAUUGAUUCCAACCA